RNAcentral lists this small nucleolar RNA (132 nucleotides) under Meriones unguiculatus (Mongolian gerbil). RNAcentral's name for it is "Small nucleolar RNA SNORA17 (ENSMUGG00000005352.1)". It matches the Rfam family "Small nucleolar RNA SNORA17". From Rfam's summary of the family: snoRNA ACA 17 belongs to the H/ACA family of snoRNAs and is predicted to guide pseudouridylation of the 28S rRNA at positions U4659 and U4598. It shares the same host gene together with ACA43. Lineage: Eukaryota; Metazoa; Chordata; Mammalia; Rodentia; Muridae. The record is from RNAcentral.
CCUGCCCCUAUAGGCUUUGCAAGUCUGGCUGCUGUGUCACAUGAGCGUCAGUAGGUGGUAGAGACGAGAGAGGCUGUGUCUACGCUCAGUGUUCUGACCUAUGAACAUCUGAAUGAUUACUAUCCUAACAUU